GGCUCAGGACGAACGCUGGCGGCGUGCCUAACACAUGCAAGUCGAGCGAGGAGAUCCUUCGGGAUGAUCCUAGCGGCGGACGGGUGAGUAACACGUGGGCAACCUGCCUCAUAGAGAGGAAUAGCCUUCCGAAAGGGAGAUUAAUACCUCAUAACAUUGCAGUUUCGCAUGGAACAGCAAUUAAAGGAGUAAUCCGCUAUGAGAUGGGCCCGCGGCGCAUUAGCUAGUUGGUGAGGUAACGGCUCACCAAGGCGACGAUGCGUAGCCGGCCUGAGAGGGUGAUCGGCCACAUUGGGACUGAGACACGGCCCAGACUCCUACGGGAGGCAGCAGUGGGGAAUAUUGCACAAUGGGGGAAACCCUGAUGCAAGCAACGCCGCGUGAGUGAUGACGGCCUUCGGGUUGUAAAGCUCUGUCUUCAGGGACGAUAAUGACGGUACCUGAGGAGGAAGCCACGGCUAACUACGUGCCAGCCGCUGC
Molecule: ribosomal RNA, 480 nt
Filed under: uncultured bacterium
Lineage: Bacteria
Description: bacterial SSU rRNA
Rfam family: Bacterial small subunit ribosomal RNA
Source: RNAcentral